GGACGAACGCUGGCGGCGUGCCUACUACAUGCAAGUUGAGCGCUGAAGGUUGGUACUUGUACCAACUGGAUGAGCAGCGAACGGGUGAGUAACGCGUGGGGAAUCUGCCUUUGAGCGGGGGACAACAUUUGGAAACGAAUGCUAAUACCGCAUAAAAACUUUAAACACAAGUUUUAAGUUUGAAAGAUGCAAUUGCAUCACUCAAAGAUGAUCCCGCGUUGUAUUAGCUAGUUGGUGAGGUAAAGGCUCACCAAGGCGAUGAUACAUAGCCGACCUGAGAGGGUGAUCGGCCACAUUGGGACUGAGACACGGCCCAAACUCCUACGGGAGGCAGCAGUAGGGAAUCUUCGGCAAUGGACGAAAGUCUGACCGAGCAACGCCGCGUGAGUGAAGAAGGUUUUCGGAUCGUAAAACUCUGUUGGUAGAGAAGAACGUUGGUGAGAGUGGAAAGCUCAUCAAGUGACGGUAACUACCCAGAAAGGGACGGCUAACUACGUG
RNAcentral lists this ribosomal RNA (498 nucleotides) under uncultured bacterium. RNAcentral's name for it is "partial 16S ribosomal RNA". It matches the Rfam family "Bacterial small subunit ribosomal RNA", at positions 27 to 507 of the family's 1533-position model. The record is from RNAcentral.